UACGUAGGGCGCAAGCGUUAUCCGGAAUUAUUGGGCGUAAAGAGCUCGUAGGCGGUUUGUCGCGUCUGCCGUGAAAGUCCGGGGCUUAACUCCGGAUCUGCGGUGGGUACGGGCAGACUAGAGUGCAGUAGGGGAGACUGGAAUUCCUGGUGUAGCGGUGAAAUGCGCAGAUAUCAGGAGGAACACCGAUGGCGAAGGCAGGUCUCUGGGCUGUAACUGACGCUGAGGAGCGAAAGCAUGGCGAGCGAACAGG
Molecule: ribosomal RNA, 253 nt
Filed under: uncultured bacterium
Lineage: Bacteria
Description: partial 16S ribosomal RNA
Rfam family: Bacterial small subunit ribosomal RNA
Source: RNAcentral